This 420-nucleotide ribosomal RNA is filed under the name Triticum aestivum (bread wheat). RNAcentral describes it as "partial small subunit ribosomal RNA". Lineage: Eukaryota; Viridiplantae; Streptophyta; Magnoliopsida; Poales; Poaceae. The record is from RNAcentral.
UCCUCCUUCAGUGGGCUGAACACGUCCAUCCUCACGCUUUUGCCGAAAAAGGAGGGAUCGAUGCAGCUAACGGAUUUUAGGCCUAUAAACCUAAUUCAUGGAGUGGCCAAGAUCUUUUCGAAGGUUUUGGCAACUCACUUGGCCUUGCUGCUCCCAGGUAUUAUAUCCAGAGCAGAGAGUGCUUUUGUCUCUAGGAGAUCUAUACAUGAGAAUUUCAAAUUUGUUCGGAAUGCGGCUAGAGCCCUGCACCAGAAGAAACACCCAUCUGUGCAGAUCAGAGCUUUUGAUUCCUUGUCCUGGGAAUUCCUAUUGGAGAUAUUGCAGAUCAGAGGUUUUGGAAACAAAUGGUGCUCCUGGAUAUUAGGUCUUCUGAGCUUAGCCUCCUCUUCGGUUCUCAUCAAUGGGGAGACCAACAUGUAG